Molecule: long non-coding RNA, 317 nt
Organism: Plutella xylostella (diamondback moth)
Lineage: Eukaryota; Metazoa; Arthropoda; Insecta; Lepidoptera; Plutellidae
Source: RefSeq, a predicted model, not a curated record
AUGCGCCUUUAAUUCCGUUAGAAAAAUUGGAAGAACGAGUUGCAGCGGCUACAGGUGUGAGUGAAGCUGCGUACCUAUACCUUAGGCAGUAUACCAAGAAGAAUUUCUCGCACCUGCAGCGAUUUCAGACGAAAUAAUGAUGAUUAAUGACAUCUUCUUCUUCCACUACGAGUAUCAAGGGUUGGCUGGAAGAAAUUGAAUUUUGGCAAUUAGUCUUUGUAUAUUGUCUGAAUUUCUUUUAAUUUUAUGCUCUUGUUUCGUGUUACUUAAGAAAAUGAAAAAAAUAAAGUGUUCAUAAAUAAAUAAAUAAUAAUUAA